AUGAUUAGGCACUCCCUAACUGCACCUGGAACUCCUGCUACCUGGAUACCAGAACUGUGCAGUCUCGAAGAACCAAAUUCUGAGGAGAGUCAUUGUUCUCACCUAAUCCAAACUUCCACAGAAACCAGUGGGCAUCUGUUUGCGGAAAUGGGAAGAGGUCACAAUCCUCUGAAUGAAGAGCACUGGAUUUCAAAGCUUUCACACAAACUCUAG
This 213-nucleotide long non-coding RNA is filed under the name Anser cygnoides (Swan goose). RNAcentral describes it as "lncRNA (ENSACDG00005015412.1)". Lineage: Eukaryota; Metazoa; Chordata; Aves; Anseriformes; Anatidae. The record is from RNAcentral.